This 342-nucleotide unclassified non-coding RNA is filed under the name soil metagenome. RNAcentral's name for it is "partial contains 5.8S ribosomal RNA, internal transcribed spacer 2, and large subunit ribosomal RNA". The stretch from base 1 to 120 matches the Rfam family "5.8S ribosomal RNA", at positions 35 to 154 of the family's 154-position model. The record is from RNAcentral.
GAUGAAGAACGCAGCGAAAUGCGAUAAGUAGUGUGAAUUGCAGAAUUCAGUGAAUCAUCGAAUCUUUGAACGCACAUUGCGGCCAUAGGUAUUCCUUUGGCCAUGCCUGUUCGAGCGUCAUUUACACCCUCAAGCCUAGCUUGGUGUUGGGCGUCUGUCCCGCCGUUUUCGCGCGCGGACUCGCCUCAAAGUCAUUGGCGGCGGUCGUGCCGGCCCCCUCGCGCAGCACAUUUGCGCUUCUCGGAGGCCCGGCGGAUCCGCGCUCCAGCAAGACCUUUCACGACUUGACCUCGGAUCAGGUAGGGAUACCCGCUGAACUUAAGCAUAUCAAUAAGCGGAGGA